UUUGUAUUUUUAGUAGAGACAGGGUUUCACCAUGUUGACCAGGCUGGUCUUGAACUCCUGACCUCAGGUGAUCCGCCCACCUCGGCCUCCCAAACUGUUGGGAUUACAGGCGUGAGUCACUGCGCCUGGCCAAGAGGUGCUUCUUAAAGCAAAUGGCUCCAAGUGAGCUAAAAACUAAAUGUCAUUUUCUCCCCUAGGAACACCUCCUAUGACCCAUCAUUGAUGUCUUCCAGUGAAUUUAUUUACUGAAGGGCUCUUGAGAAGGGCUUGGGGGGCCACGCAGGGGGGCAGGAAGCUGCCUGGGGCCAGAGACCCCUUCAGAGGACCUGGCCAGGCCCUAGACUUCUAGAGCUGAAGGGUGGACCCAAAGAUGAAUUUGCUUCUUGUGUCCUGGGUCCCCUGAUAGAGACUGUAUGAGAAGCCAACAGGAGGAGGGUGCCUCUCCCCAGCCCCAGGCUCUCACAGCCACUUGGACGGCAGUUGUCCCUCCCUCCGUCCCUCCCCUUCCCUCCCUCCCCUCCCUGUGGGUCCCCCACAUUUCUGUCUCUGCUCCCACUGCAGGCUGUUUUGUUCCUCCCUGACUCUGUCACCCUCCUCUGCUUCUCUGUCACAGUCUCUCUCCCUUCCCUCAGUCUCUGUCCUUCUGUCUGAGCCGAGGUUCUCUGGGCUUCCAGAGGCAGAUGAUGGUCUCCAGCUCUUCAGACAGUGGCUGCUUUCAUUCCAUUUCCUGGCCCCUGUCUGGGAACAAUGAAGAAGAAUCACGCAGGCACCAGGAGGAAGUCUGAGCCCGCCUUAGCUCCAUGGCCUCAGCUUCUGCAGUCUCCGUAUCAUCCACAGCUCACAGCCUCCUGCCGAUCAGUCAGCACGUCUUUCCAGACCUUCUGCUUGAAAUGCGAGUCUUCUAACAACUUGCCUGCUGAACUCCUACUCCUCCUUUCAGGGCUCAGCUUAAGCAUCGCCUGUGGCCAGGGCUCAGGGCCUGCCCUGCACCUUUCAUAUCGCCUCUCUGGGAGUGGCUUGUUUAAACAUCCCGGGAGCCUGGAGAGGUGGUAUCACAGGCAUUUGAACCAGAGCGACUCCAUCUUGAGUGAGGGCUAGGAAAAUGAAGUUGGGACUUGCAUUCCCAGAAGGCUAUUCCCAGCCUCUAGAUGUUUACAGUUAAGGAAAUGGAUUAAUAAUGUUUACUAACAAACCCAAACUUCGGAGUGUCCAGAUAUCCCGAUAUCUCGAGAACAAAGGCAUUCCUAAUUUUGCUUCAAAGAUAAUAAUAUUGAUUCUUGCAAAAUUUGGUAAUUUUAAAAAAGAAUCCUUUAUCACAAACCCUGUAGCAGAGCACAUCUCCCCAUGAUCUUUUUUUAUCCUAUAUAUAUACAAGCACUGUACCUAGGGUGGAUGCAUUCCUCCUCUUACUUUUGGGAAUGCCCUAUUCUGUCUAUGGAGUAGCUGUUCUUUCACCACUUGACUUUCUAAAUAAACUUGCUUUUCCUUUGCACCGCAGACUCGCCCUGAAUUCUUUCUUGAGCAAGAUCCAAGAUCCCUCUCUUGGGGUCUGGAUCGGGACCCCUUUCCUAUAACAGUGCGACCAGGCUGUCCCUGCUCACCAAGGUGUCUGGGCACGGUCGGUGACUGCUCUUUGUAGGUCUCGGUGAAAACCUGCGGAGGAAUGAGUGAGUGUAAGAAAGGGAAGGAGACAUUUUUAAUUAAGACCAGGCAAGAUUAGGCAAUAGGAGAAAAGAC
RNAcentral lists this long non-coding RNA (1737 nucleotides) under Homo sapiens (human). RNAcentral's name for it is "HSALNT0391068". Lineage: Eukaryota; Metazoa; Chordata; Mammalia; Primates; Hominidae. The record is from RNAcentral.